Molecule: transfer RNA, 75 nt
Filed under: Phytohabitans houttuyneae
Lineage: Bacteria; Bacillati; Actinomycetota; Actinomycetes; Micromonosporales; Micromonosporaceae
Description: tRNA-Ile
Rfam family: tRNA
About the family: Transfer RNA (tRNA) molecules are approximately 80 nucleotides in length. Their secondary structure includes four short double-helical elements and three loops (D, anti-codon, and T loops). Further hydrogen bonds mediate the characteristic L-shaped molecular structure. tRNAs have two regions of fundamental functional importance: the anti-codon, which is responsible for specific mRNA codon recognition, and the 3' end, to which the tRNAs corresponding amino acid is attached (by aminoacyl-tRNA synthetases). tRNAs cope with the degeneracy of the genetic code in two manners: having more than one tRNA (with a specific anti-codon) for a particular amino acid; and 'wobble' base-pairing, i.e. permitting non-standard base-pairing at the 3rd anti-codon position.
Source: RNAcentral
GCGCCGCAGCCCAUCCGGUCGGUGGGAGCCGUCUUAUAAGCGGACUGUGGCGAGUUCAACUCUCGCGCGGCGCAC